This is a non-coding RNA of Peromyscus maniculatus bairdii (prairie deer mouse), 982 nucleotides long. Lineage: Eukaryota; Metazoa; Chordata; Mammalia; Rodentia; Cricetidae. The record is from RefSeq and is a predicted model, not a curated record.
GCAACAGUUGUGCCUGGUUAAAAAAUACUCACAUCCUCACCAUCCUUUGCCGCUAAAGAAAGCUGCCCGUGGCCUAGAUCUGGCCAGUAAGACUGAAGUGAGAGCUUAUUGGCGGGACCUUCAGGAACCAGGCAUGUUCAUGUUGUACACACCCACAUGUCGGCAAAAUACCCAUAUACAGAGAUGAAAAAAUCUCAUCAUCAACAACAACAACAGGACUAUGGAAGGAUGCCUGGUGGACAGCGCCGUUUGCUGCUCCGGAUGGGAGUCCUGGCGGGGUGGAACAGAGUGGAAUGCCCCUGCAGGCUCCUAAUGGCACCUGUCAGGGGAGAUGCCUUAUUGAUAUCUCCUAUACAGGACGUCAUCCACAAGGGAGGGAGCACACAAAGAAAAUGAAAUGCUUCACUAGAUCCAUGCUGGGAACAGAGCCAAGUCCUAACCACAGGCAGCCAGAACGUAUACCACUCCGGACAUUCAGGGCAGAGGCAAGAACUCUGCCAAGCACUUUCCUUUACAAAGUGUGCGACUUAAACUAGUCCAUCAAAUGAUGGCUUUGACAAGGGAGGAUGCCACUGACAGAUCAGUGAGAGGAUUCUUCUGGACUCUUUUCAGCAAAUGCAUCCCAGGAAUUUCAGCUGCGGCCGAGGAUAUGAGAGAAUGUGAAGCAGGUGAGCAGCGGCUUACAUGAGAAUCCAUUUCAAGCACAGACGUGAUGUGGACGUGUUGCAGCUGUGUCUGCUCUGCUCAGCUCAGUUUCUGGAGAUACCAAGUUUCCAAUGAAGGCUUGCACCACCCUGCACGACAAGGCCGCCCACUCCUCUCCAGUUAUGGCUCUGGCUUCAUUUCCCUACCUUUCUUCUCUUCCCCAAUCCACUAGAUAUGUUGACGUCCUGAUGUCCUCUAAGGACUGGUCAGGACACACCAGAACACAAGGAGAUCACAUGACAAGCUUCACACAAAGGCCACUGAAACAUCCUAAAUA